UGCCAGCAGCCGCGGUAAUACGGGGGGUGCAAGCGUUAAUCGGAAUUACUGGGCGUAAAGCGCGCGUAGGCGGUUUGUUAAGUCAGAUGUGAAAGCCCUGGGCUCAACCUGGGAAUUGCAUUUGAUACUGGCAGACUAGAGUAUGGUAGAGGGAAGUGGAAUUCCGGGUGUAGCGGUGAAAUGCGUAGAUAUCCGGAGGAACAUCAGUGGCGAAGGCGGCUAACUGAACCGGAACUGACGCUGAGGCACGAAAGCGUGGGGGGCAAACAGGAUUAGAUA
RNAcentral lists this ribosomal RNA (279 nucleotides) under uncultured bacterium. Its description in RNAcentral is "partial 16S ribosomal RNA". It matches the Rfam family "Bacterial small subunit ribosomal RNA", at positions 506 to 784 of the family's 1533-position model. The record is from RNAcentral.